CAAGUCAUACAUUUUUAAAACACUACCUGGCACUAACAAAUUUGCUUUUAUCUUCCAAAUAUUUCUUCUGCUGUGUUCUGACUGUAGGUGUAAGUGAAAGUUAAAAUCUAUAUAUGAUCUGAUCUUGCUUUUAUAAAUAUUGUCUUUGGUUAAUUGACAGUGUAUUUGGGGCAGUAAUAAUUCUUUAUUCUGUUUGAUGCCUAACACCACUGAAUCCUGCUUUGUCAUCAGGCUUCUAGAAGCUGCCACAUUAUUAAUAAGAAGAAAUAAUUUUAUGGGAAGAAAACUAUUUUGAAUAUGAAGUAAAUUCCUACUUGUGUGAAUAACCCAUCCUCUCAAUACUGCUUAUUUAAUUUCUGUUCAGAUCCUUAGAUCCUGAUUUUCUGCUAAGCUCUCUUUGCAAUUUUUUAAAAGUUGCCAUAGGUGUAGUUGUUUGUAGUUCAAAACAUGUUAAGGCUGACUGAACAGCUCUUUGUCUCCAAAAGUCUGUCACAGGAGGUGCCAUAGAAAAUUUUGGAGGUAGAAUUUUCAGAAACAGCAGAUCUUAUUUUGAGGAAGAUUUUGAAAAACGUACCAGCAUUUAAUGAGUGGAAAAUCUCACCAAAAUUCAGUCAGAUAUUGCUCUUUUAGCAAUGCUAAGAAAAAAUACCUCCUCAUGUAGCUAAACACGGCUGCUUUUUAAAAAGCAGCUGCUGCACAAUAUUCCUCUAGGGCCUGAUAGCACUGAGACCCAGUUUACCCAUGGGGAUACAUUUUAGAAAAUCAUGGCCCACCCUGGAUCAUAAGGAACACAGAUGUCAAUUAUCUUUGGAAGCUUUUGUGGAAUAUAAAUGGAAAUAAGAAGCUUGAGAGUGCAUCACCCAGCCACCAAAUGAUCAACAAUUAUUCCUGGUGGGAUAUGUCUUCACUGCAUCCAGCUAUCAGGAUCAAGACAAGUUUGCUGAUGAAAACGUGCAUGUACACAACUCCUGUGACUUGCAGUGCUCUCUUUCUCUCACCCUGCUCUACAGCUCUCCCCAGGAU
RNAcentral lists this long non-coding RNA (1023 nucleotides) under Zonotrichia albicollis (white-throated sparrow). Its description in RNAcentral is "lncRNA (ENSZALG00000010000.1)". Lineage: Eukaryota; Metazoa; Chordata; Aves; Passeriformes; Passerellidae. The record is from RNAcentral.